This 459-nucleotide ribosomal RNA is filed under the name uncultured bacterium. RNAcentral describes it as "partial 16S ribosomal RNA". It matches the Rfam family "Bacterial small subunit ribosomal RNA", at positions 338 to 795 of the family's 1533-position model. The record is from RNAcentral.
CCUACGGGUGGCAGCAGUGAGGAAUAUUGGUCAAUGGUCGGGAGACUGAACCAGCCAAGCCGCGUGAGGGAUGAAGGUACAGAGUAUCGUAAACCUCUUUUGUCAGGGAACAAAGGCGGGGACGCGUCCCCGGAUGAGUGUACCUGAAGAAAAAGCAUCGGCUAACUCCGUGCCAGCAGCCGCGGUAAUACGGAGGAUGUGAGCAUUAUCCGGAUUUAUUGGGUUUAAAGGGUGCGCAGGCGGUCUGUUAAGUAAGCGGUAAAAGCCCGGGGCUCAACCCCGGCCCGCCGUUGAAACUGGCAGUCUCGAGUAGGAGAGAAGUAUGCGGAAUGCGCGGUGUAGCGGUGAAAUGCAUAGAUAUCGCGCAGAACUCCGAUUGCGAAGGCAGCAUGCCGGCUCCACACUGACGCUGAGGCACGAAAGCGUGGGUAUCGAACAGGAUUAGAUACCCUAGUAGUC